GAACGCUGGCGGCAGGCCUAGCACAUGCAAGUCGAGCGGUAGCACAGAGAGCUUGCUCUCGGGUGACGAGCGGCGGACGGGUGAGUAAUGUCUGGGAAACUGCCUGAUGGAGGGGGAUAACUACUGGAAACGGUAGCUAAUACCGCAUAACGUCGCAAGACCAAAGUGGGGGACCUUCGGGCCUCAUGCCAUCAGAUGUGCCCAGAUGGGAUUAGCUAGUAGGUGGGGUAACGGCUCACCUAGGCGACGAUCCCUAGCUGGUCUGAGAGGAUGACCAGCCACACUGGAACUGAGACACGGUCCAGACUCCUACGGGAGGCAGCAGUGGGGAAUAUUGCACAAUGGGCGCAAGCCUGAUGCAGCCAUGCCGCGUGUGUGAAGAAGGCCUUCGGGUUGUAAAGCACUUUCAGCGGGGAGGAAGGCGUUAAGGUUAAUAACCUUGGCGAUUGACGUUACCCGCAGAAGAAGCACCGGCUAACUCCGUGCCAGCAGCCGCGGUAAUACGGAGGGUGCAAGCGUUAAUCGGAAUUACUGGGCGUAAAGCGCACGCAGGCGGUCUGUCAAGUCGGAUGUGAAAUCCCCGGGCUCAACCUGGGAACUGCAUUCGAAACUGGCAGGCUAGAGUCUUGUAGAGGGGGGUAGAAUUCCAGGUGUAGCGGUGAAAUGCGUAGAGAUCUGGAGGAAUACCGGUGGCGAAGGCGGCCCCCUGGACAAAGACUGACGCUCAGGUGCGAAAGCGUGGGGAGCAAACAGGAUUAGAUACCCUGGUAGUCCACGCCGUAAACGAUGUCGAUUUGGAGGUUGUGCCCUUGAGGCGUGGCUUCCGGAGCUAACGCGUUAAAUCGACCGCCUGGGGAGUACGGCCGCAAGGUUAAAACUCAAAUGAAUUGACGGGGGCCCGCACAAGCGGUGGAGCAUGUGGUUUAAUUCGAUGCAACGCGAAGAACCUUACCUGGUCUUGACAUCCACAGAACUUUCCAGAGAUGGAUUGGUGCCUUCGGGAACUGUGAGACAGGUGCUGCAUGGCUGUCGUCAGCUCGUGUUGUGAAAUGUUGGGUUAAGUCCCGCAACGAGCGCAACCCUUAUCCUUUGUUGCCAGCGGUCCGGCCGGGAACUCAAAGGAGACUGCCAGUGAUAAACUGGAGGAAGGUGGGGAUGACGUCAAGUCAUCAUGGCCCUUACGACCAGGGCUACACACGUGCUACAAUGGCAUAUACAAAGAGAAGCGACCUCGCGAGAGCAAGCGGACCUCAUAAAGUAUGUCGUAGUCCGGAUUGGAGUCUGCAACUCGACUCCAUGAAGUCGGAAUCGCUAGUAAUCGUAGAUCAGAAUGCUACGGUGAAUACGUUCCCGGGCCUUGUACACACCGCCCGUCACACCAUGGGAGUGGGUUGCAAAAGAAGUAGGUAGCUUAACCUUCGGGAGGGCGCUUACCACUUUGUGAUUCAUGACUGGGGUG
This 1459-nucleotide ribosomal RNA is filed under the name uncultured organism. Its description in RNAcentral is "SSU rRNA". It matches the Rfam family "Bacterial small subunit ribosomal RNA". The record is from RNAcentral.